This 29-nucleotide non-coding RNA is filed under the name Rattus norvegicus (Norway rat). The record is from RNAcentral. Lineage: Eukaryota; Metazoa; Chordata; Mammalia; Rodentia; Muridae.
AACAAUGACGUGCUGUAUGUUUGAUCGGC